UACGGGGGGAGCAAGCGUUGUUCGGAUUUACUGGGCGUAAAGGGCGCGUAGGCGGCCAGCACAAGUCAGUUGUGAAAUCUCCGAGCUUAACUCGGAAAGGUCAACUGAUACUGUGCGGCUAGAGUACGGAAGAGGCGAGUGGAAUUCCUGGUGUAGCGGUGAAAUGCGCAGAUAUCAGGAGGAACACCGAUUGCGAAGGCAGCUCGCUGGGACGUCACUGACGCUGAGACGCGAAAGCGUGGGGAGCAAACAGG
This 254-nucleotide ribosomal RNA is filed under the name uncultured bacterium. Its description in RNAcentral is "partial 16S ribosomal RNA". It matches the Rfam family "Bacterial small subunit ribosomal RNA", at positions 524 to 776 of the family's 1533-position model. The record is from RNAcentral.